This 212-nucleotide long non-coding RNA is filed under the name Capsicum annuum. RNAcentral describes it as "long non-coding RNA (CANN_LNC007515)". The record is from RNAcentral. Lineage: Eukaryota; Viridiplantae; Streptophyta; Magnoliopsida; Solanales; Solanaceae.
UGCAACUGAUUGUGGUUCUGUUGCAACUUAUUAUCCAUCUGUUGCUAAGUUGUGUUGGAUUAUUGAUUCAGAGAACCCUAUGCAACAGAUGGACCAUCCGUUGCAUCUUUACAAUUACUAACCUAUUUAAAAAUUGACUUCUUUAAAAAUUGACUUUUUAUCUCACAGCAUGUUGACAUAAUUCUCUACCUCAUGAGAAAAAGGCAAUUAAC